Molecule: ribosomal RNA, 402 nt
Filed under: bacterium
Lineage: Bacteria
Description: partial 16S ribosomal RNA
Rfam family: Bacterial small subunit ribosomal RNA
Source: RNAcentral
UGGGGAAUUUUGCACAAUGGGGGAAACCCUGAUGCCGCGACGCCGCGUGAUUUAGAAGGCCUUCGGGUUGUAAAAAUCUUUUCUAUGGGAAGAAAAUGACAGUACCAUAGGAAUAAGGACCGGCUAAUUACGUGCCAGCAGCCGCGGUAAUACGUAAGGUCCGAGCGUUGUCCGGAAUCAUUGGGCGUAAAGGGUACGUAGGCGGGUAAGCAAGUUAGAAGUGAAAUCCUAUAGCUCAACUAUAGUAAGCUUUUAAAACUGCUCAUCUUGAGGUAUGGAAGGGAGAGUGGAAUUCCUAGUGUAGCGGUGAAAUGCGCAGAUAUUAGGGGAAAUACCGGUGGCGAAGGCGACUUUCUGGCCAUAACCUGACGCUGUGGUACGAGAGCGUGGGUAGCAAACAGG